AGACGGGGCCCGCACAAGCGGUGGAGCAUGUGGUUUAAUUCGAUGAUACGCGAAAACCUUACCUGGGCUUGAACUGUGCAUGACAAGGUGUAAGAGAUACACCCUCCGACAAGGCAUGUACAGAGGUGCUGCAUGGUUGUCGUCAGCUCGUGUCGUGAGAUGUUGGGUUAAGUCCCGCAACGAGCGCAACCCUCGCUGUGUGUUACAAGUGUCACACAGGACCGCCGGUCUUAAGCCGGAGGAAGGUGGGGAUGACGUCAAGUCAGCAUGGCCUUUAUGUCCAGGGCUACACACACGCUACAAUGGUCAGCACAAUAGGUAGCCAAGCCGCGAGGUGGAGCCAAUCCUCAAAGCUGGCCUCAGUUCAGAUCGCAGGCUGCAACCCGCCUGCGUGAAGCCGGAGUUGCUAGUAACCGCAGGUCAGCUAUACUGCGGUGAAUACGUUCCCGGGGCUU
This 455-nucleotide ribosomal RNA is filed under the name uncultured Fastidiosipila sp. RNAcentral's name for it is "bacterial SSU rRNA". It matches the Rfam family "Bacterial small subunit ribosomal RNA", at positions 912 to 1382 of the family's 1533-position model. Lineage: Bacteria; Bacillati; Bacillota; Clostridia; Eubacteriales; Oscillospiraceae. The record is from RNAcentral.